CGUAAAGAACCUGCCUCAUAGACUGGGACAACAUUGAACGAUAGCUAAUACCGGAUAACAGUAUUUCUCGCAUGAGAGAUAUUUAAAAGUUGGUUAUGCUAACACUAUGAGAUGGCUUUGCGGUGCAUUAGCUAGUUGGUGGGGUAAAGGCCUACCAAGGCGACGAUGCAUAGCCGACCUGAGAGGGUGAUCGGCCACACUGGGACUGAGACACGGCCCAG
RNAcentral lists this ribosomal RNA (221 nucleotides) under uncultured bacterium. RNAcentral's name for it is "partial 16S ribosomal RNA". It matches the Rfam family "Bacterial small subunit ribosomal RNA", at positions 116 to 334 of the family's 1533-position model. The record is from RNAcentral.